Saimiri boliviensis boliviensis (Bolivian squirrel monkey) is the source of this 2054-nucleotide non-coding RNA. Lineage: Eukaryota; Metazoa; Chordata; Mammalia; Primates; Cebidae. The record is from RefSeq and is a predicted model, not a curated record.
UAUUGCUAAGUGAAAAAAUGCAAUUUGAACCUACCUUCUUUUGCCCAUGGAGAUAGUGCUUGUACUCACCAGUAAUUUCUCAGGAUCAGUGUUUGAAUGUGCAGGUACCUAGGAGGACUCCAGUAGGGCCAAAUCCUUUGGGAAAGGUUUGUUGGGAAGAGUGGCUUUGAGUACAAAACAACUUUAUGAUUUCGCAUGGAAAAUGGGCCGUGUCCUCCACCCUCUGAUGCAAAGAGCAAAUUAUCGGCACUUAACAAGCCGUUGUCAUGUAUACAUAGGUGGUGGUGAAUCUUGUUUCUGGGAAGACUUUUGUAACCGUUACCUCUGGAAAAUCUGAAAUGAUGACACCAAACAUGUUACUCGCCAAACUGACCUCUUCCACCCUGAGAGGCAGUGAGCAAGUUCAGUGUCAAGGACUGAGCUCUGCUUCUUCCCUUCUGCCUCUGAAACCUACUAAGUCUGUAGGCUAGACCCUAAAUGGUUUAUGACAAACACAAUAAGCACUCACAUAGAAUGCGAAUGUCUCAUAGGGAAGAACAAGAGCAGUUGUGAUGGUAAGAAAAUAACUUUUAAAAUGAGAGUAUUUCAGGUGUGUACAUAUUGUUGUUAGUUACCUGUGCAUUUCCAGUCAGUAAUGAAUUGAAGGAGGGAACAUACCCACACUAACCAACCUUAGCAUCGGUAGGCCCCGUGUGUAAGAUAGCAGAGUCACUGUCUGGGAGUUCCUGAAUAAUCACUGUCUCUAAAUUUCUAAAACGUUCACAGAGCAAUCUGAUUAAAUGCCCUUGAGUGGGGUUGAUUCUGGUGCUGAAUUUAGUCUGUUGACUACCAAAGCAAAAUAAUUUUCCUGCACAUGCCCAGGUGGGAAAUUUCAGCCUCUGAAUAAAUGGUUAUAAAAUGAUGUAGCUGCUUCUGAGAAGUGCUUAUAUCUAGUUUGAUUUCACUGGUGGUCAAUGUUCUGAUACUAUUAAAUAUAAAUAUAUAUUAUUGGAAAGAGGUGUAAAACUUUCCUUAUUAUAAUUCUAAGUUAAAAAAAAACAAAUGCUUGCCAGGCUUUCAGAUGUUCUUCAAGAUUUUUCAAGGUCUUCUCACCAGGCAGUUAAUUGUUAACUUUGUUUCAUAUCAUGAAUUCUUUCAAAAGCUCUAAAUCGAUAUGUAUUGUAGUGUUCUGUGCAGCUGUUACUCAAUAUCAUCUCUGUGUCCCCUUUCCUUGGGCUCGCCUUGCUGUCUAGAGGCAUUGAGUAUAGUUUGCUUGUUUAACAGGGUAUACAGAAUACAUGCAUUCUGGAAGGUUAUCUAUCAAAUCCUAUUUUUCUGUAGACUUUAACCUCUUAUAUCAGAAUGAUGACUGAUUCUGCUGGCCAGUUCUGGUAAUAGUUCAAAGUAGUCCAAAGAUCUUUGACAGGUAUUGUUGGGAGAUAGUCAAGGACCUCGGUGUUUGACUUUUUUAAAAAACCUUAUUAAAACGUCCUGUAUUCUGAUUCCUUACUCCUUAUUCCCAUCAGACCACUGUCUGAGAGAAACCUCAUAACCUGACCACCAACAUGGAAUGGAUUGUUUUGGACUGUAACAAUGGUCAGGUAGGGUCUAAGAGGAACUAGUAUGCCUUCAUAUGUAAGUCUUUACCUUCUAACUGCAUACAUGGUUAGUAAAAGGUUGUGUAAAAUAUUCAAAUUUUUCUUUUAGAUCUAUUUUAAUAUGUGUUAUACAUCAUAAGGGUUUAGCAAUAUUAACAUGCCAUUCUACAUUUUUCUUCUUAACAUAUAAUUAUAUAAAGCAACAAAUAUUUAGUGGACAUUAAUAUAUGCCAGAUAGCAUUUCAGUUAAGAAAGCUUAAGAGGUAAAUCUAAAACCAGAAUAUUUCUUACAGAGAAUAUCAGGAUGACAGCUGAUUUUGUGUGUGUAAAGUGGUAUAUCCUCUCUGGGCUUUAAAUUAUACCCAGAGGUGGUGGUAGUCAAGUAUAAUAAAGACCAAAAAGAGGAAAAUUUGGAAACAUAAAAAAUAAGACAUAAUAGGAAAGUAUUUUUGAAGAAAAUUAAGGCAACUCCAGAUU